UCUACCCAAUCUGCUGGCACAUCAUUUUGAACUGACAUUUGCAAACGUUAAGGCUAAGUCCUGAGAUUCAGCAUUUUUUUCCAAUUCCAAUUACGUCAGCAAAUGCAUGAAACAAUGUGUGUGACAUCUAAACUGGUGAACAACAGCUGCAGAGGAAACAUGUUGUUCUGUUCAACAGGAAUGCUACUCAGGACUGGGAGGGAGUGUAAAGGUUGAAGGUCCUGUACCAUUGUCUUCAGGACAGUUGUCUUCAAAGGUCUUGGACGGCCCCGCGUUGACAGCUACCACCGCACACAAGUUCCCCCGGGGGUCAGCGUCCGUGUGGGUCUGAUGAGGCCCGGCGAGCGAGGGUUCCAGGUGGUUCUUUUUGCUCUCUUCCUUUUUGUGACUAUGGUUGUUUUCUUUAAAUGGAGAUUUCCGGUGACAGGAAGACGUACUAUCGAGAUGAAGACGAUGCUGGGCAGACGAGGCCGUGGGGACUGUGGGGGGAUGUUUGCUGUUGGAGCUUUUCUCUUUCUGAGGUUCCGCCAUUUCGCCGUCGGAACCGUCGACCGAGAUGGGUCCCUCGCUGUCGGAGAAGGGCUCGGCGUCUGAGUCGUCCUCUGACCUGGGUGAGUCGGGGGCGUCGGGGAUAUUGGAGGACUCGUAGUGAGUUUCCUGUAGGGAGGCCCGGAUGGCGGCCUCCAGCUGGCUGUCUUCACUGGCAUCGAUCAGACUCUCCUAGAACAGAAAACAGGCGCGCAGCUGUUGAAAACAAAUCGGGGAAGAACAAUAGCAAGCCGGGCGGGGGGUGGCCAAACUGUGCGAUUUUGACCAAACUUAACACUUGCAAAAUUAUUUCAGGGAGAGUUCGUAUGCAAUUUGGAACACACCGUCAUCUACCACGAUGGCAGUAGUAAAUCCAAUAAUUAGGAUAAUCGAAGGUCCGACAUUAAGUCUUUUUGCGUCGUAGCAAUGACAUUUUGCAUUUUAGGAGUUUUAGUCUUAUUCAAACCAUUCCUUAUUUUAGCUGACACGCAAAAAAAAAAAAUGGUACCCAAUCUGGUAAAAAGAUCAAUGAUGAUGAAUCAAUUUAGGUCAAUAAAAAUCCAAAUAACAAGUAGUAUUUAAAAAGCAAGAAUGUGUUGAGCCAAUCGUAUUUAUUGAAGAAAUCUGUUAAUGUUCAACUGAUGAGUAGAACCCGGAUCACGUUUUCAAUUUAGAGUUGCGUUUAUAAAGCAUGGCUAAAGCAGGAGGCAAGUCUUAGUUGCAGAAAAUGUUGGUUUGAAAAACACUUGGAGGCCAUGAAUAUUAAUCAAAUGAAAACCAAUAAGUACAGCGGAAAAUGAGCUUGAUCCUCAUGAUGCUGAAAAAACUAGUUCAUUACGAGCCCUUCAUCCACUCAAAAUGUUCUCAGUCAACCUGAACCGAGGAACCAAACCCAAAACGUGUAUAUCUCGCACCACAAAGCUAAAAAAAACAAACAAA
Molecule: long non-coding RNA, 1467 nt
Organism: Hippocampus zosterae (dwarf seahorse)
Lineage: Eukaryota; Metazoa; Chordata; Actinopteri; Syngnathiformes; Syngnathidae
Exons: 2
Source: RefSeq, a predicted model, not a curated record